Molecule: non-coding RNA, 85 nt
Organism: Mycena rebaudengoi
Lineage: Eukaryota; Fungi; Basidiomycota; Agaricomycetes; Agaricales; Mycenaceae
Source: the annotation of a GenBank genome assembly
GGUCUAGUGGUGUAGUUGGUUUAUCACAUCCGCUUCACAUUUAGUCUGACGCGGGCGGUCCUCGGUUCGAUCCCGGGCUGGAUCA